CUCCAAGACACAUAAGAGCAUUGGGGAACUAGGCUAAGAAAGAAAAAUAAACAAAUGACAUACUUAAUAGUCAAUACUGUUUAAUGCAAUUUAUUUUUCUGUGGUUGUGAAUAUGAAGGGUUAGAUGUUAUUGGAAUCCGCUUAUUUAUUUUUUGGUCCAGAAUUAACCCCUCCCCCAUCCCCUCUAAUUUGAAUAUUUAAUCAUGGUUUGGUUGUUCAGAAGGUGAUCUUUGUAUACCAUAAGUCUAUUUUCAAAUGUGUGUUGCUGUUUUACAGUCGUUGAAGUUAUAGGAUUCAGAUAAAGAGGGGGACAAAAAAAUACAUGGAAUUUUUAUCAUAGUUUGAUAUAUGAUUGAUGAUACAAAAACUAAGUACUAACCCUUAUUUAUAAUAGAAUUGAACUCCUAAUUCUACUCAAACA
This 421-nucleotide long non-coding RNA is filed under the name Trifolium pratense (red clover). RNAcentral's name for it is "long non-coding RNA (TPRA_LNC011433)". The record is from RNAcentral. Lineage: Eukaryota; Viridiplantae; Streptophyta; Magnoliopsida; Fabales; Fabaceae.